AGUGAACGCUGGCGGUAGGCCUAACACAUGCAAGUCGAACGGCGGCACAGUAAGAGCUUGCUCUUACGGGUGGCGAGUGGCGGACGGGUGAGGAAUACAUCGGAAUCUACUUUUUCGUGGGGGAUAACGUAGGGAAACUUACGCUAAUACCGCAUACGACCUACGGGUGAAAGCAGGGGAUCUUCGGACCUUGCGCGAUUGAAUGAGCCGAUGUCGGAUUAGCUAGUUGGCGGGGUAAAGGCCCACCAAGGCGACGAUCCGUAGCUGGUCUGAGAGGAUGAUCAGCCACACUGGAACUGAGACACGGUCCAGACUCCUACGGGAGGCAGCAGUGGGGAAUAUUGGACAAUGGGCGCAAGCCUGAUCCAGCCAUACCGCGUGGGUGAAGAAGGCCUUCGGGUUGUAAAGCCCUUUUGUCGGGAAAGAAAAGCAGCAGGUUAAUACCCCGCUGUUCUGACGGUACCCAAAGAAUAAGCACCGGCUAACUUCGUG
Molecule: ribosomal RNA, 492 nt
Filed under: uncultured bacterium
Lineage: Bacteria
Description: partial 16S ribosomal RNA
Rfam family: Bacterial small subunit ribosomal RNA
Source: RNAcentral